ACGGGUGAGUAGUACAUCGGAACGUGCCCGAUCGUGGGGGAUAACGGAGCGAAAGCUUUGCUAAUACCGCAUACGAUCUACGGAUGAAAGCAGGGGACCGCAAGGCCUUGCGCGGACGGAGCGGCCGAUGGCAGAUUAGGUAGUUGGUGGGAUAAAAGCUUACCAAGCCGACGAUCUGUAGCUGGUCUGAGAGGACGACCAGCCACACUGGGACUGAGACACGGCCCAGACUCCUACGGGAGGCAGCAGUGGGGAAUUUUGGACAAUGGGCGAAAGCCUGAUCCAGCCAUGCCGCGUGCAGGAUGAAGGCCUUCGGGUUGUAAACUGCUUUUGUACGGAACGAAAAGCCUCUUUCUAAUAAAGAGAGGUCAUGACGGUACCGUAAGAAUAAGCACCGGCUAACUACGUGCCAGCAGCCGCGGUAAUACGUAGGGUGCGAGCGUUAAUCGGAAUUACUGGGCGUAAAGCGUGCGCAGGCGGUGAUGUAAGACAGAUGUGAAAUCCCCGGGCUCAACCUGGGAACUGCAUUUGUGACUGCAUCGCUGGAGUGCGGCAGAGGGGGAUGGAAUUCCGCGUGUAGCAGUGAA
RNAcentral lists this ribosomal RNA (587 nucleotides) under uncultured bacterium. Its description in RNAcentral is "bacterial SSU rRNA". It matches the Rfam family "Bacterial small subunit ribosomal RNA", at positions 102 to 685 of the family's 1533-position model. The record is from RNAcentral.